GUGGGAUUUCCCUCUGUAUGCUGUGAUUACCACUGAUUGAUAAAAAAAAAAACUGCUUUGAGCCUAUGGCAGGGAAGAACAGAACGAGGCCGGAAAAGCUAGGCUGAAUGCUGGGAGAUAGAGGGCGGAGUCAGCGAGAAGCUAUGUGGCCCCACCAGAGACAGAUGCUGGAACUUUUCCCGGUUGCUGACCACCGACUUAGCAUCCUGGGAUGUAGCAUUGUGGAUUAUCUAUACAGAAUUCUGAAGUUAAAACAAUCGACAAACCAGUGUUCUGAAGUUUUUCCAGUAUUCUCUGUGUGCCUGAUAACAUCAGCAAUUAUGUACCAAAAUAAUCAAAUUAUGUUUUUGGUUUCUUUUUUUUUUUCUUGCCUAUUACAUCUCACAUCUCUUUUUGUUUAAGUGAUUUCUGAUAAAGUCGCUUGUUCUUUAGCCCAAGCUGACCUCCAACAGGCAAUCCUUCUGGUUCAACCUCCCCAGCGCUAGAAUUACAAGGGUAAAUUGCCAUGCUCAGCUAUAUAGCAUAUCUCGUAAUCGCUCAGAAGCAAAGUCUGUUAUUGUCAGCAAUAUUUUGAAUAAUAUUUUAAAGCUCAAUCUGUAAAAUGUUCUCCCAUAUGUCCAGAAUGUAUAGUUCACAAACUUUUUUCAUUACCAAAUUAAUUCACUUAAGUCCAUGAAAUAAAAGGUACAGAUGCUGGGGACAUAGCUUACCUGGUUUUUGCUUGCCUACUAUGCACAAAGCCCCAGUUUAACCAUCAGCACUGCAAAACCAAGAUGUGGUGGCGCACACCUGCCGCCCCAAUACUGAGGAGAUGGAAGCACGAGGAGCAGUUCAAGGUUAUCCUUGGGUACAUACCAAGUUUGAGGCUAGCCUGGACUACAACAGACAUGUCUCACUAAAUGAGUAAAUAAAUAAAUGGUCUGAUUUAUAGGCUGAAUGCUGGCAAUUGUCAUUAAAUUAAAUAUAAACACUGUUACGCUUUA
Long non-coding RNA from Arvicola amphibius (Eurasian water vole), 983 nucleotides. RefSeq lists it as uncharacterized. The transcript has 2 exons. The record is from RefSeq and is a predicted model, not a curated record. Lineage: Eukaryota; Metazoa; Chordata; Mammalia; Rodentia; Cricetidae.